This 240-nucleotide unclassified non-coding RNA is filed under the name soil metagenome. Its description in RNAcentral is "partial contains 5.8S ribosomal RNA, internal transcribed spacer 2, and large subunit ribosomal RNA". The record is from RNAcentral.
AACCUAGCACACCUGCGGUGUGUACCUGCGGAAGGAUCAUUACUGAGUAAUUGGGUCUUUCAGGCCCAUAACUCCCACCCUUUUGUGUACCUUUUAUCACAUUUUGAGUUGCCUUGGUGGGAAACCCAUCCCCUAACACGGUUGGGACCUGCCAGGGGGACUUUUUUAAACUCUCAUCAAUUGAGUCGUCUGAGAAAUUAAAUUCAAAUGAAUUAAAACUUUUAACAAUGGAUCUCAGAU